This 406-nucleotide ribosomal RNA is filed under the name uncultured bacterium. RNAcentral describes it as "partial 16S ribosomal RNA". It matches the Rfam family "Bacterial small subunit ribosomal RNA", at positions 29 to 526 of the family's 1533-position model. The record is from RNAcentral.
AUUGAACGCUGGCGGCAGGCCUAACACAUGCAAGUCGAACGAGGGGCGGACGGGUGAGUAAUGUCUGGGAAACUGCCCGAUGGAGGGGGAUAACUACUGGAAACGGUAGCUAAUACCGCAUACCAUCGGAUGUGCCCAGAUGGGAUUAGCUAGUAGGUGGGGUAACGGCUCACCAAGGCGACGAUCCCUAGCUGGUCUGAGAGGAUGACCGGCCACACUGGAACUGAGACACGGUCCAGACUCCUACGGGAGGCAGCAGUGGGGAAUAUUGGGCAAUGGGCGCAAGCCUGAUGCAGCCAUGCCGCGUGUGUGAAGAAGGCCUUCGGGUUGUAAAGUACUUUCAGCGGGGAGGCGUUACCCGCAGAAGAAGCACCGGCUAACUCCGUGCCAGCAGCCGCGGUAAUAC